RNAcentral lists this transfer RNA (77 nucleotides) under Marmota monax (woodchuck). RNAcentral's name for it is "tRNA.Ala". The stretch from base 10 to 70 matches the Rfam family "tRNA", at positions 6 to 65 of the family's 71-position model. Rfam says of the family: Transfer RNA (tRNA) molecules are approximately 80 nucleotides in length. Their secondary structure includes four short double-helical elements and three loops (D, anti-codon, and T loops). The record is from RNAcentral. Lineage: Eukaryota; Metazoa; Chordata; Mammalia; Rodentia; Sciuridae.
GGCUGAGGAUGUGGCUCAAUGGUAGAGUGCUUGCCUGGCAUGCAUGAGAGCCUGAGUUCAAUUCCCAGCACAAGUCA